GCCCUUGUAGUAUAACUUGGAUAGAACACGGGCUUCCGGAGCCUGUAAUCCGGGUCCAAAUCCCGGCAAGGGCGCUA
Molecule: transfer RNA, 77 nt
Filed under: mine drainage metagenome
Description: tRNA-Arg
Rfam family: tRNA
About the family: Transfer RNA (tRNA) molecules are approximately 80 nucleotides in length. Their secondary structure includes four short double-helical elements and three loops (D, anti-codon, and T loops).
Source: RNAcentral